CCUCCUUGUGUCCUCCUUUUUGCCUCUUGGGCCAUGGCGGCACCUCUGCCCCAGCAACGCCGCGUGAAGGAUGAAGGUUUUCGGAUUGUAAACUUCUGUUGCGAGGGAUGAAGAAUGACGGUACCUCGUGAGGAAGCCCCGGCAAACUACGUGCCAGCAGCCGCGGUAAUACGUAGGGGGCAAGCGUUGUCCGGAAUGACUGGGCGUAAAGGGAGUGUAGGCGGCCUUUUAAGUGAUAUGUGAAAGCCCCCGGCUUAACCGAGGAACUGCAUAUAAAACUGGAGGGCUGGAGUGCAGGAGAGGUAAGCGGAAUUUCUAGUGUAGCGGUGGAAUGCGUAGAUAUUAGGAAGAACACCGGAGGCGAAGGCGGCUUACUGGACUGUAACUGACGCUGAGGCUCGAAAGCGUGGGGAGCAAACAGGAUUAGAUACCCUAGUAGUC
RNAcentral lists this ribosomal RNA (441 nucleotides) under uncultured bacterium. RNAcentral's name for it is "partial 16S ribosomal RNA". It matches the Rfam family "Bacterial small subunit ribosomal RNA", at positions 338 to 795 of the family's 1533-position model. The record is from RNAcentral.